AGUGAACGCUGGCGGUAGGCCUAACACAUGCAAGUCGAACGGCAGCACAGUAAGAGCUUGCUCUUGCGGGUGGCGAGUGGCGGACGGGUGAGGAAUACAUCGGAAUCUACUUUUUCGUGGGGGAUAACGUAGGGAAACUUACGCUAAUACCGCAUACGACCUACGGGUGAAAGCAGGGGAUCUUCGGACCUUGCGCGAUUGAAUGAGCCGAUGUCGGAUUAGCUAGUUGGCGGGGUAAAGGCCCACCAAGGCGACGAUCCGUAGCUGGUCUGAGAGGAUGAUCAGCCACACUGGAACUGAGACACGGUCCAGACUCCUACGGGAGGCAGCAGUGGGGAAUAUUGGACAAAGGGCGCAAGCCUGAUCCAGCCAUACCGCGUGGGUGAAGAAGGCCUUCGGGUUGUAAAGCCCUUUUUUUGGGAAAGAAAAGCAGCAGGUUAAUACCCCGCUGUUCUGACGGUACCCAAAGAAUAAGCACCGGCUAACUUCGUG
This 492-nucleotide ribosomal RNA is filed under the name uncultured bacterium. Its description in RNAcentral is "partial 16S ribosomal RNA". It matches the Rfam family "Bacterial small subunit ribosomal RNA", at positions 29 to 507 of the family's 1533-position model. The record is from RNAcentral.